UGCAAGUCGAACGGCAGCACGGACUUCGGUCUGGUGGCGAGUGGCGAACGGGUGAGUAAUACAUCGGAACGUGCCCAGUCGUGGGGGAUAACGUAGCGAAAGCUACGCUAAUACCGCAUACGAUCUACGGAUGAAAGCGGGGGAUCGCAAGACCUCGCGCGAUUGGAGCGGCCGAUGGCAGAUUAGGUAGUUGGUGGGGUAAAGGCUCACCAAGCCGACGAUCUGUAGCUGGUCUGAGAGGACGACCAGCCACACUGGGACUGAGACACGGCCCAGACUCCUACGGGAGGCAGCAGUGGGGAAUUUUGGACAAUGGGCGCAAGCCUGAUCCAGCCAUUCCGCGUGCAGGAUGAAGGCCCUCGGGUUGUAAACUGCUUUUGUACAGAACGAAAAGGCUCUGGUUAAUACCUGGGGCUCAUGACGGUACUGUAAGAAUAAGCACCGGCUAACUACGUGCCAGCAGCCGCGGUAAUACGUAGGGUGCAAGCGUUAAUCGGAAUUACUGGGCGUAAAGCGUGCGCAGGCGGUGAUGUAAGACAGAGGUGAAAUCCCCGGGCUCAACCUGGGAACUGCCUUUGUGACUGCAUCGCUGGAGUACGGCAGAGGGGGAUGGAAUUCCGCGUGUAGCAGUGAAAUGCGUAGAUAUGCGGAGGAACACCGAUGGCGAAGGCAAUCCCCUGGGCCUGUACUGACGCUCAUG
Molecule: ribosomal RNA, 700 nt
Filed under: uncultured beta proteobacterium
Lineage: Bacteria; Pseudomonadati; Pseudomonadota; Betaproteobacteria
Description: bacterial SSU rRNA
Rfam family: Bacterial small subunit ribosomal RNA
Source: RNAcentral